RNAcentral lists this ribosomal RNA (486 nucleotides) under uncultured bacterium. RNAcentral describes it as "partial 16S ribosomal RNA". It matches the Rfam family "Bacterial small subunit ribosomal RNA", at positions 30 to 507 of the family's 1533-position model. The record is from RNAcentral.
AUUGAACGCUGGCGGCAUGCCUUACACAUGCAAGUCGAACGGCAGCACGGGUGCUUGCACCUGGUGGCGAGUGGCGAACGGGUGAGUAAUACAUCGGCACAUGUCCUGUAGUGGGGGAUAGCCCGGCGAAAGCCGGAUUAAUACCACAUACGAUCUACGGAUGAAAGCGGGGGACCUUCGGGCCUCGCGCUAUAGGGUUGGCCGAUGGCUGAUUAGCUAGUUGGUGGGGUAAAGGCCUACCAAGGCGACGAUCAGUAGCUGGUCUGAGAGGACGACCAGCCACACUGGGACUGAGACACGGCCCAGACUCCUACGGGAGGCAGCAGUGGGGAAUUUUGGACAAUGGGCGAAAGCCUGAUCCAGCAAUGCCGCGUGUGUGAAGAAGGCCUUCGGGUUGUAAAGCACUUUUGUCCGGAAAGAAAUCCUUGGCCCUAAUACGGUCGGGGGAUGACGGUACCGGAAGAAUAAGCACCGGCUAACUACGUG